GUCUGCGGACAUACCACCCUGAACGCGCCCCAUCUCGUCUGAUCUCGGAAGCUAAGCAGGGUCGGGCAUGGUUAGUACUUGGAUGGGAGACCGCUUGGGAAUACCAGGUGCUGUAGGCU
RNAcentral lists this ribosomal RNA (119 nucleotides) under Marmota monax (woodchuck). The record is from RNAcentral. Lineage: Eukaryota; Metazoa; Chordata; Mammalia; Rodentia; Sciuridae.